This 1259-nucleotide ribosomal RNA is filed under the name Marinococcus luteus. RNAcentral describes it as "bacterial SSU rRNA". It matches the Rfam family "Bacterial small subunit ribosomal RNA", at positions 79 to 1316 of the family's 1533-position model. The record is from RNAcentral. Lineage: Bacteria; Bacillati; Bacillota; Bacilli; Caryophanales; Bacillaceae.
GGAACCGGUGGAACGAGCGGCGGACGGGUGAGUAACACGUGGGCAACCUGCCGGACGGAUGGGAAUAACCCCGGGAAACCGGGGCUAAUGCCCAAUACGCCCUGACCUCGCCUGAGGUCAGCGGUAAAGCAGGGAUCUUCGGAUCCUUGCACAGUCCGAUGGGCCCGCGGCGCAUUAGCUAGUUGGAGAGGUAAGGGCUCCCCAAGGCGACGAUGCGUAGCCGACCUGAGAGGGUGAUCGGCCACACUGGGACUGAGACACGGCCCAGACUCCUACGGGAGGCAGCAGUAGGGAAUCAUCCGCAAUGGGCGAAAGCCUGACGGUGCAACGCCGCGUGAGUGAUGAAGGUUUUCGGAUCGUAAAGCUCUGUUGACAGGGAAGAACCCACGCCAGUCGAACAGGCUGGCGUGCUGACGGUACCUGUCCAGAAAGCCCCGGCUAACUACGUGCCAGCAGCCGCGGUAAUACGUAGGGGGCAAGCGUUGUCCGGAAUUAUUGGGCGUAAAGGGCACGCAGGCGGUUUCGUCAGUCCGAUGUGACAGGCCACGGCUCAACCGUGGAAGGCCAUUGGAAACUGCGAAACUUGAGGACAGAAGAGGAGAGUGGAAUUCCACGUGUAGCGGUGAAAUGCGUAGAUAUGUGGAGGAACACCAGUGGCGAAGGCGACUCUCUGGUCUGUACCUGACGCUGAGGUGCGAAAGCAUGGGGAGCAAACAGGAUUAGAUACCCUGGUAGUCCAUGCCGUAAACGCUGAGUGCUAGGUGUUAGGGGUUUCGAUACCCGUAGUGCCGAAGCUAACGCAUUAAGCACUCCGCCUGGGGAGUACGACCGCAAGGUUGAAACUCAAAGGAAUUGACGGGGGCCCGCACAAGCGGUGGAGCAUGUGGUUUAAUUCGACGCAACGCGAAGAACCUUACCAGAUCUUGACAUCUUCCGCUACGCCUCGAGAGAGGCGGUUCCCCUUCGGGGGACGGAAUGACAGGUGGUGCAUGGUUGUCGUCAGCUCGUGUCGUGAGAUGUUGGGUUAAGUCCCGCAACGAGCGCAACCCCUAAUCUUAGUUGCCAGCAUUCAGUUGGGCACUCUAAGGUGACUGCCGGUGACAAACCGGAGGAAGGUGGGGAUGACGUCAAAUCAUCAUGCCCCUUAUGAUCUGGGCUACACACGUGCUACAAUGGAUGGUACAACGGGACGCGAACCCGCGAGGGGGAACCAAUCCAGAAAAGCCAUUCUCAGUUCGGAUUGCAGGCUGCAACUCGCC